AUUUAUUUUAUACAUUGAAUCCAAACAUAAAAAAUAUGGCUGAUUUACUAUGCGGAUAUAUAUAGAUUUUUAAAUUAAAGUGCACAUAUGCAGGUCAGUUUUUGGUCGAUGCAGUCAAAUAAUUUUGGUGUAUAAUAUUAAUUAAGUCAGCAUGAGGUAUAAAAACUACUGAAAUUUUGUUACGUAUCAAUAUUUUGAAUAAAAGGAGCACAUGCAGCUGGCACCCUAAAUUUAUGCGAACAAAAAUUUGUUGUUAUUGUAUUUCAAUAUUGCUGUCCAUUGUAUUGUACAUUGAAUCCUAACACAAAAAUAUGGCUGAUUUACUAUGCGGGUAUAUAGAUUUAAAAUAAAAAGUGCACACAUGGUCAGUUUUGGUCAAUGCGGUCAAAUAAUUUGUUGUACAAGUCAGCAUGAGGUAUCAAAACUACUGAAAUUUUGUUACGUAUCAAUAUUUUGAAUAAAAGGAGGACAU
RNAcentral lists this long non-coding RNA (472 nucleotides) under Mytilus galloprovincialis (Mediterranean mussel). The record is from RNAcentral. Lineage: Eukaryota; Metazoa; Mollusca; Bivalvia; Mytilida; Mytilidae.